ACGACGGCAACAUCUCGCUUCCAGGACCUUAACCAUACUCUCUCAUUAACACAGGCAAAUACACACAGACACACACUCAGGCCACAAGUUGAGACAGCUGCCACACACGGACACCCUCAGAGAGACUCCAUACUCUCUCGAGUACGUUCCUGACAGUGGGUUCUCUUGCCCUGAGUGACCCCACACAUUUUACACAUUCAAUAAUACCUACACAGAGUGGGAAUUUGCAAAGCUCCAGACAGAGGAAACGCUGUGGAUUUGGACAUGGAUCUGCUUCUGUAUCCUGUCCCUCUGCUGAGUGUGUUUCUCCUCAUUCCAACAGUUUCAGCCCAAUCUGCCAUCAAUCUGACCAACCAGACAGAGGUUCCCAUGGUGACCUCACCCACAACACUGUCAUCCAACACUAUGCAUGUGGCUGGCAGCGCAACAACCCCAACUACAGCCCAGCCAAUGACUGAUGUGACAUCAUCCCCAGUACUCUCACCGCCAGGGAACAACCCUCUUGUGACAACCCUCAGUGCCCUGCAGUCAAAUCAAUCAACAGCCUCACCUGGAAAUGCCAGCUGUGACAAUAAGUCACCCACAUCCUCACCUCGACUAUCGUGUCCUAACGUCAGAAGCUCUGCUCAGGCUAAAAUACCUAGUACCCCCUCACAAGACACUGCUGCUGGACCAGAGGUGAGGAAUUCGGAGAAGCCAUGUGUCAUUCACAGUGCAUGUUUAAAAAAACAUG
Molecule: long non-coding RNA, 733 nt
Organism: Oncorhynchus tshawytscha (Chinook salmon)
Lineage: Eukaryota; Metazoa; Chordata; Actinopteri; Salmoniformes; Salmonidae
Source: Ensembl